RNAcentral lists this ribosomal RNA (894 nucleotides) under uncultured bacterium. RNAcentral's name for it is "bacterial SSU rRNA". It matches the Rfam family "Bacterial small subunit ribosomal RNA", at positions 9 to 871 of the family's 1533-position model. The record is from RNAcentral.
GAGUUUGAUCCUGGCUCAGGACGAACGCUGGCGGCGUGCCUAACACAUGCAAGUCGAACGGAGAAUUUCAAUAAGUUUACUUAGCGAAAUUUUUAGUGGCGGACGGGUGAGUAACGCGUGGGUAACCUACCCAUAAACCCGGGACAACCCUUGGAAACGAGGGCUAAUACCGGAUAAUCUUAGUUCGUGGCAUCACGAGUUAAGAAAAGGUGGCCUCUGAAGAUGCUACCGAUUAUGGAUGGACCCGCGUCUGAUUAGCUAGUUGGUGGGGUAAAGGCCUACCAAGGCGACGAUCAGUAGCCGGCCUGAGAGGGUGAACGGCCACACUGGGACUGAGACACGGCCCAGACUCCUACGGGAGGCAGCAGUGGGGAAUCUUCCGCAAUGGACGAAAGUCUGACGGAGCAACGCCGCGUGUAUGAUGAAGGUCUUCGGAUUGUAAAGUACUGUCUUUGGGGGAGAAUGAUGCAUUUGAAAAUAUUGAGUGCAUAUGACGGUACCCAAGGAGGAAGCCCCGGCUAACUACGUGCCAGCAGCCGCGGUAAUACGUAGGGGGCAAGCGUUGUCCGGAAUUAUUGGGCGUAAAGGGCGCGUAGGCGGAUAGUUAAGUCCGGUGUGAAAGAUCAGGGCUCAACCCUGAGAGUGCAUCGGAAACUGGUUAUCUUGAGGACAGGAGAGGAAAGUGGAAUUCCACGUGUAGCGGUGAAAUGCGUAGAUAUGUGGAGGAACACCAGUGGCGAAGGCGACUUUCUGGACUGUAACUGACGCUGAGGCGCGAAAGCGUGGGGAGCAAACAGGAUUAGAUACCCUGGUAGUCCACGCUGUAAACGAUGAGUGCUAGGUGUAGAGGGUAUCGACCCCUUCUGUGCCGCAGUUAACACAAUAAGCACUCCG